Molecule: long non-coding RNA, 1853 nt
Organism: Bactrocera dorsalis (oriental fruit fly)
Lineage: Eukaryota; Metazoa; Arthropoda; Insecta; Diptera; Tephritidae
Exons: 2
Source: RefSeq, a predicted model, not a curated record
AAAUAUCAUGGCUUUUAUCUUUCCUUAAGCCUUCCUUCGACAUUUCAUCUCACAACACUGACUGAGUCGACCUUUAUGACACUCUAUAUAGUUUUUAAAGUAACCGCCGUGCAACCUGAUAUUCAUCUUUUCAAAAAAAUUAGUACCUUUCUAGCCAUUCGAUUACCAAAGAUACUUAAGUCCUUUCAUUACCUGUUACCCAGUAAUUAUUGCUUUCCAGAGUUAUUAGCCACAAAUAGUGACCUCAUUGGGUUUAGUGGAUAAACAUUUCGGUGCUUCGAGAAUGCUAACUAAGCUUAAAAUCUAUCCAUAACCCUACUUUUUACUUUAAGUACCAUAAAAUAGUUAUAAAAACGAAAAAUCGCGGUUACGACCGGCUUGCUUGCUUGCCAUUGUUACGCCCAAAAACGGUAUAAGGAAAAGCUUCGCUUAAAGGACUUGCUUGCUACGCGCUUAGCUGUGAUGCUUUGGUGAUGUCAUGCGCCAUCUUUUUAUAUAAUGCAAAGCUUUAAUAAAAAAUAAUUAUCGCCUUCCAUUAAAUUUCGCUCAUUUGUACAAAGUUUCUCAUUGCAGCUAUUAUAUACAUUUAUAUAAAACAUAAUUCAUGAUCAUACACAUACACAUUUGUAUAAAUGCAUAUAAAUAUUCAAUCACAUACAUACUUACAUUCAUAUUUAUUAUACAAUAUAAAAUAAAGAACUUAUAUUUCAGAUUAUUUGAAAAACUUUACUCUAGCGCGGGCGAUUACCUUUAAGUAUUGUAAAUAUUUUUUGCCUACUUUUUUUAACACAAAAAUCUCGGAGAAUUAACAAAAAAAUAUUUAUAAAAUUUUUUUACUAUAAUGCAUUUACUCCUCUGCCCCCUCAUCAAAUUUUAAUUUCAUCGUACUGUUACACUUACAAUUUUCCGUUAUUUUCUAAAUUUCUCUUUUAUGUAUUCCGUUAGAAUGAGUGUAGUAACUAAUACCAAAAGCGACAGCAAGCAGGUCGCAGUGAUCAACAUAGCGCCGCCACAAUAACAAAGGCUCGCACACAACUGCUACUGCUGCUGCUGCUGAGCUAAAUGCUACACACACAGCGGCGGCCACAAGCAUAGAAACACACAUAACAAAAAAAAAAAAGCAUACAAAGAACCUAAAAUGUUGCUACCUGCUACCUGUUGCCUGCCAUUUGUUUCCCGCCAUGCAUUUCUCACCUGCCUCCUGCAAAAUUAAACACAAAAACCAAAAAAAAAAUCCUAGCAUUGUUUACUUACAUUAAAUUGGCUUAAGAAUAUGCUAAAGACUGUAUUUACUCAUGUUAUAACUGUAAACUGUGUAACCAGUAGUCAAAAACGCCAUGUACAAAACAAAAUUCAAAAAGAAAAAAAAUCAAACAAACCUCUAACGUUACUUACUCGCUACUCGUCACUACGAGUGAUGCGCCAAAAACAAGCGAAUAUGUCAAACAAUAAUUUAUAAUUGAUUUCUCGAAAGCCUACUCAAGCGCCGGCCGCCGGGUACGAGCCACACGAACUCCACCAGCUCUACGAAUUCCGAUUAUAAUCAAAAUCCCGAUAAGUAUGCAAUGAAAAUGAAGUCGUCGUCACAGGCGCUGCGUGGCAGUGAUCGCUUCUAGCGAAGAGCUAUUCGUCUACACGUGACAGCAGCAACCAGCGCCAGAGCCAAUACUCAACGAAGACAACGUCCAGCAGUGUUGGCAAUUUAACGCUCUCGGCUGCUGGUCCCGCUGAGAGGCCGCUAAUGAUGCCAACCGAACGGACGACAAGUUUAAGAAAUUAAAUUGCAAAAGUAAAAUGAAUGAAAAUGAAGUGAAUUAAACGAAGUGGAUUAAAGUGAAAUGAAAUGGUUUAAA